Molecule: long non-coding RNA, 1595 nt
Organism: Lepisosteus oculatus (spotted gar)
Lineage: Eukaryota; Metazoa; Chordata; Actinopteri; Semionotiformes; Lepisosteidae
Source: Ensembl
GUGCCAACCAAUCUAUGCAUAAAACUUCUUAAACGAAAGAAAACAGUUCUAAGGAGAACAGUUCUGUUUUAAGAACAUAUUUGUGCUCUUAUGAGAUUAAUAUCUUUCACCAGGAAGGAUUUAUUUUACUGUAAUAGCUGUACACACUAUUUAGGAAAGUACUGUUAGGCAGAGGACACAGUUCUGACUGAUGGGACUGAUUCACAAGUCACAAACUGGAUGUGUGUGUUGUGGGUGCCAGACCUCAGACACGGCCACUGCACCAAGCAAACAAAGGAUUAUUUUCCCCUCGUUAAUGUUAAUUUCAGACUCAUACAUAUAACUGCCAGCAUUCAAAACAAAACAUUAUUUUCACGUGACUCGUGUUGGAGCGCUCGAAAGAGUUUUACUGUGGAACGUGGUCUUGUAGGCGGGUAGUUCCACUGGCUCACACGAGCAGCCGAUCAGACCAGGAGGUAUCUUGGUUUCCAGGUGCGACUCUUCUCCUAGAUGGGACACCAGUCCAUCACAGACCCCACCAUCAGCAGACUGCAGUCUCUGUUCAAGAAGCUGCGUGGACUGGACUAUUCAGGACAACAGCCGUGUACGGUAUACUACAGUGACUCGAACCCACAGCCCCCCCCCGUGAGGCUGGAGACUUACCCACAAUGCUACACUGUUCUACUAUUGAUCAAAUACCUGUCAUUAUUGUCGGACUUGAAGCUUUGGAGCCUUCCGUGAAUACUACCUAAUCUCAAAAGGAAGAACAGCACUGAAAAAUUACUGCUUAAAUCUGAAGGUUACAGAAGGAAUAGGGAGAAAAUUGGUUUAUCUAACCGAUCUAUUGUUUUUUAUGUGAAAGUGAAGAAUUGAUUAAAAGUGACAGGACCAGAAAUAUCUCUCUUUCUUUGCUUUUAAGUGUAAAACAAACAAAACAUUUACUUUGGAGUUUCAAUGAGGAUACAGAUAUCUCUCCCAUGACUGCAGGUACUGUAGCUGCCAUCAGCUAUUUACCCUCCUGUCUCUGUUAAUGACUUCAACAGGGUCACUGCACGGUUACUUUCCCUUGCGGCUGAGCAGUUUUCAUGUCCAACACCACCUAAUGAAUUUUAAAAAAGCUGUGAUUAAGUGACACAACAUAGUUCAUCAGCCAGGGGAAAACAAACUAUUUCAGUUUGCCUAUUUAUAUGCCCUGAAUACUCAGAUUGACUUCACAUCAAAUGCAAUUAAAACUAUUCCAUAGGAUUUACUGUUUAUUAAAAGUUUCCAAUCAAAUUAGUCUGGAAUGGAUCCUUAUAAGCAAAAACUCUCCCAAGUUGCCAUGGUUACCAAGGUCAUUCCUGCUUUGUAUUAUUAUAAUAAAGUCCAUAUGCGUAGAAGACACAACAGAUAAACAUGUCUGUUGCAUCUUUUCAUGACAUGGGUUUACUCACCACUGUGCAUAUUGAGGAAGCCAGUUAUCAUCAUUUUCUGCUCAUUUUAUUUUUCUAUUGUGUUCUAUUUGUUUGGGAAAAUAAAAAAUAAUGUUCACAAAAAUCAAGUUUUGUGCGUAGUGGAAAAAGGACCAUUUUCUUUUUUUAUAUUGUAUUUUAUACCUUUUGGAAUAAAAAUAAAAU